AAGGAUUUAAGUUAAGCUAAACUCCUAACCUUCAAAGUUAGAAAUAGAUUUUAUCUAAGCCUUA
Molecule: transfer RNA, 64 nt
Filed under: Lochmaea sp. BMNH 848700
Lineage: Eukaryota; Metazoa; Arthropoda; Insecta; Coleoptera; Chrysomelidae
Description: tRNA-Trp
Source: RNAcentral